Molecule: long non-coding RNA, 360 nt
Filed under: Felis catus (domestic cat)
Lineage: Eukaryota; Metazoa; Chordata; Mammalia; Carnivora; Felidae
Description: lncRNA (ENSFCAG00000047398.1)
Source: RNAcentral
UUCUUGAGAGAAUCCAGUUUAUAAAUGAUAGUAGAAAAAUACACAUAGUUGACGUGACCCUGCUGUAGUACUCCAUCAACAAUGAGUUUGAAAAGCAAGAGAUGAAAAUUGAAAAAUGCAAAACAAAGAUUUGUAAAUAUUGACGAAACAAAGGACACUUUAGGAAGGAUUCCAAGAACUCCCUGUACUUUCAAUACCUUCACUUUGGAGUUACCUUCAAAGAGGCUAAGAUUGUAGCUGAAAACGGUCCAGCUUCUCCCACACCUUGAGAGACUGCGUUGCUGUAAGAAAAUGAUGGACAUCAUCCACAAGCCAUAUUAACUAAAAGGACAGAUGAAGAAUUUUAAACUGAAGUCCCCA